Molecule: ribosomal RNA, 497 nt
Filed under: uncultured bacterium
Lineage: Bacteria
Description: partial 16S ribosomal RNA
Rfam family: Bacterial small subunit ribosomal RNA
Source: RNAcentral
GAUGAACGCUGGCGGCGUGCCUAAUACGUGCAAGUCGAGCGAACGGACGAGAAGCUUGCUUCUCUGAUGUUAGCGGCGGACGGGUGAGUAACACGUGGAUAACCUACCUAUAAGACUGGGAUAACUUCGGGAAACCGGAGCUAAUACCGGAUGAUGUUUUGAACCGCAUGGUUCAAAAGUGAAAGACGGUCUUGCUGUCACUUAUAGAUGGAUCCGCGCUGCAUUAGCUAGUUGGUAAGGUAACGGCUUACCAAGGCAACGAUGCAUAGCCGACCUGAGAGGGUGAUCGGCCACACUGGAACUGAGACACGGUCCAGACUCCUACGGGAGGCAGCAGUAGGGAAUCUUCCGCAAUGGGCGAAAGCCUGACGGAGCAACGCCGCGUGAGUGAUGAAGGUCUUCGGAUCGUAAAACUCUGUUAUUAGGGAAGAACAUAUGUGUAAGUAACUGUGCACAUCUUGACGGUACCUAAUCAGAAAGCCACGGCUAACUACGUG